GAUGAACGCUGGCGGCGUGCCUAAUACAUGCAAGUCGAGCGAACAGACGAGGAGCUUGCUCCUCUGACGUUAGCGGCGGACGGGUGAGUAACACGUGGAUAACCUACCUAUAAGACUGGGAUAACUUCGGGAAACCGGAGCUAAUACCGGAUAAUAUAUUGAACCGCAUGGUUCAAUAGUGAAAGACGGUUUUGCUGUCACUUAUAGAUGGAUCCGCGCCGCAUUAGCUAGUUGGUAAGGUAACGGCUUACCAAGGCAACGAUGCGUAGCCGACCUGAGAGGGUGAUGGGCCACACUGGAACUGAGACACGGUCCAGACCCCUAGGGGAGGCAGCAGUAGGGAAUCUUCCGCAAUGGGCGAAAGCCUGACGGAGCAACGCCGCGUGAGUGAUGAAGGUCUUCGGAUCGUAAAACUCUUUUAUUAGGGAAGAAAAAAUGUGAAAGUAACUAUGCACGUUUUGACGGUACCUAAACAAAAAGCCACGGCUAACUACGU
Molecule: ribosomal RNA, 496 nt
Filed under: uncultured bacterium
Lineage: Bacteria
Description: partial 16S ribosomal RNA
Rfam family: Bacterial small subunit ribosomal RNA
Source: RNAcentral